CCCAGGCCCUGAAGGGAGCAUCUCCAUGCGGGCUCGACGCUUUGACAGGAGCGCUGCAAGGUGGUGAAGCUGAGGGAUU
Molecule: non-coding RNA, 79 nt
Filed under: Amphidinium massartii
Lineage: Eukaryota; Dinophyceae; Amphidiniales; Amphidiniaceae
Source: RNAcentral